GACGAACGCUGGCGGCGUGCUUAACACAUGCAAGUCGAACGGAAAGGCCCUGCUUUUGUGGGGUGCUCGAGUGGCGAACGGGUGAGUAACACGUGAGUAACCUGCCCUCGACUUUGGGAUAACUUCAGGAAACUGGGGCUAAUACCGGAUAGGAGCUCCUGCUGCAUGGUGGGGGUUGGAAAGUUUCGGCGGUUGGGGAUGGACUCGCGGCUUAUCAGCUUGUUGGUGGGGUAGUGGCUUACCAAGGCUUUGACGGGUAGCCGGCCUGGGAGGGUGACCGGCCACAUUAGGCCUGAGAUACGGCCCAGACUCCAACGGGAGGCAGCGGUGGGGAAUAUUGCACAAUGGGAGGAAGCCUGAUGCGGCAACGCCGCGUGCGGGAUGACGGCCUUCGGGUUGUAAACCGCUUUCGCCUGAGACGAAGCGUGAGUGACGGUAAUGGGUGAAGAAGCACCGGCUAACUACGUG
This 468-nucleotide ribosomal RNA is filed under the name uncultured bacterium. RNAcentral's name for it is "partial 16S ribosomal RNA". It matches the Rfam family "Bacterial small subunit ribosomal RNA", at positions 28 to 507 of the family's 1533-position model. The record is from RNAcentral.